UACGAGGGGGGCGAGCGUUGUUCGGAAUUACUGGGCGUAAAGAGUGUGUAGGCGGUGCUCUAAGUUCGGUGUGAAAUCUCCUGGCUUAACUGGGAGGGUGCGCCGGAAACUGGAGUGCUCGAGCGUGGGAGAGGAAAGCGGAAUUCCUGGUGUAGCGGUGAAAUGCGUAGAUAUCAGGAGGAACACCUGCGGUGUAGACGGCUUUCUGGACCAUAGCUGACGCUGAGACACGAAAGCGUGGGUAGCAAACAGG
RNAcentral lists this ribosomal RNA (253 nucleotides) under uncultured bacterium. RNAcentral describes it as "partial 16S ribosomal RNA". It matches the Rfam family "Bacterial small subunit ribosomal RNA", at positions 524 to 776 of the family's 1533-position model. The record is from RNAcentral.